CAUUUCAUUAGUAAAAAGUUUAUUAUAUUAUCUUGAUGAGGUAAAGUUAAAUGAAAUAAA
RNAcentral lists this transfer RNA (60 nucleotides) under Macropostrongyloides yamagutii. RNAcentral's name for it is "tRNA-Ile". The record is from RNAcentral. Lineage: Eukaryota; Metazoa; Nematoda; Chromadorea; Rhabditida; Strongylidae.